UCGAACGGUAACGGGUCCUUCGGGAUGCCGACGAGUGGCGAACGGGUGAGUAAUAUAUCGGAACGUACCCUAGAGUGGGGGAUAACGUAGCGAAAGUUACGCUAAUACCGCAUACGAUCUAAGGAUGAAAGUGGGGGAUCGCAAGACCUCAUGCUCGUGGAGCGGCCGAUAUCUGAUUAGCUAGUUGGUAGGGUAAAAGCUUACCAAGCCGACGAUCUGUAGCUGGUCUGAGAGGACGACCAGCCACACUGGGACUGAGACACGGCCCAGACUCCUACGGGAGGCAGCAGUGGGGAAUUUUGGACAAUGGGCGAAAGCCUGAUCCAGCAAUGCCGCGUGCAGGAUGAAGGCCUUCGGGUUGUAAACUGCUUUUGUACGGAACGAAAAAGCUUCUCCUAAUACGAGAGGCCCAUGACGGUACCGUAAGAAUAAGCACCGGCUAACUACGUGCCAGCAGCCGCGGUAAU
Molecule: ribosomal RNA, 467 nt
Filed under: uncultured bacterium
Lineage: Bacteria
Description: bacterial SSU rRNA
Rfam family: Bacterial small subunit ribosomal RNA
Source: RNAcentral